CAUUGCAUGCCUGUAGUGUAGUCCUAGCUAUUUGAGAAGCUGAUGUGAAAGGAUCACUCGAGCCUAAGAGUUUGAGGCUGCACUGACCCAUGAUUCAGCCACUUCACUGACAGAUGUGUGUGUGUGUGCGUGUGUAUGUAUAAUCAAUAUGGAUGUGAAAAAAAUUCAAGCCCGGGAGAAAAGUGAAAGCCCAUAGUGGGGGAUGUGGAGAAAGGUGAGUGCGGCUCCAGCAACUCAGUGAAACUUGGUUUUCCAUCUUGAAGAAUUGCCCAUACACACUGAAACCAUAGCCUAGAACAUGCCAGUUAUCACACUACACCUGCUGGGAUACCACUAUGUACCCUUUUUUAAAAAAAUAAAAUCUUUCACCUAAGAGAAGCAGAAGAGAAAAGGAGGGUUUCACAUCUAAAGCCUUCAUUUUCUUUAUGAAACAACAGCCACUUGUCAUUUGAGUUGUCCAAAGGCGACUGACAGCACUAAUACACUUAAUGAAUCAACCAGGAAAAAUGGGCCUCUCGGGUGAGGAGGAGGCACAAUAGUAACUAAACCCAAUCCAUUCUCAGCUUUACAUGGUGCCCGUAUCUUAAGAAGUGGUGUUAGCCAUGUGAACCGUUUUCACUGGACAAGGCCAGAAGAAAGAACAUUUAGUACAACACAAUCAUGAGGCUGCAAAUCAAACUGGUAGUGGGAGCAUGCACAAGGCUUCAGUGGCUGAGACACUGGUGGCUACCCUUGGGUGUCACUUAAAACUUCGAGGUGAAGGACAUUUUUUUUCCAAUUGGCUCAGGGAAACUAAUAAACAUUAGAAUUGAAAUUUGUUUUUCUUUUCAAAAUCUCUAAGACAUAGAGGAUUCUCUAAACACUCCAAAAGACAUUCAGAUAUACAUGCAGCUGAGGACCUGCCUGCUCUGCAGAGGGAUGGCUGAGCAGCAGCCACCAGCUGUAAUAGCUUUAAACUUCUCCUCUCACAGGGACAGGCCACUCCCACACACACCGGUUACUUCAUAGGCUGUGGCCCUCAGAUGCACCUGGGGGACUCCUUUCCUCCCAUCUCAUUAGCUCUCCAAGACAGUCCAUCUCACUCUAAAAGCUACACUAGGAUGGUGAGUUGUAGACUCUCCUCCAUUCUCCCAGCGCAGUGUGACUUCCAGAGAGUGCUCCCCCAUCCUCUUACCUCAACUGAUGUGAAAAGGGCCAGUGCCUGGGCAGUUAGAUGUUCAGUGACCUCACAGGUCCAGCAUGCCCAGGGCCUGGCCCCACAGCCUGGCACCUCUCCCCUACCUGGCCUUCAUGCCGGCCUUUUCUCUUCUGUCACCAAUGUCAGGUGACAUUCACCUGUGCCACACUCUCAUGAGCGUGGUAAGUGAUGGGUGGGUAAACCCCAGCUGAGUGCCUGUGACUCUACCCUCUUACCUUUCACUCAAGUGACAUUAUAAGCAUAAUUUUACAUUUGAUUUCAUUUAUGCAUAAUCUUUUCUUAUAACAUUUCUGACAACAGCCCUCACAACCAAAGGAGACUGGGUUACAGAACACACGGGCAAGGCUGGGGUAGCAGGUUUCACUUACUUUAUUCCAAUGUGAAAUGAAGAUGUGAUGGUUUAAAACCAAGACAAAGUUGUUUAUCAGCUGUGGGGUUGCUACACUUGCUAGCUCAUGCUCACUUCCUUUGAAACAAGGAAUCUGGAGAGACUAUAUUCAUAAGUAGCUCUUUGCAAAACCCCAGGCAGAAGCCCCAGUCAGACACAGCUCCCUCAGGCUCUCAGGGCGGCAACUUCCUCCUCCAUGUUGGGCUCUGCCAGCAGGCAAGGGAAGAGCUCCCUCAGGCUCCCAGGGCGGCAACCUCCUCCUCCACGUUGGGCUCUGCCAGCAGGCAAGGGAAGAGCUCCCUCAGGCUCCCAGGACGGCAACCUCCUCCUCCAUGUUGGGCUCUGACAGCAGGCAAGGGAAGCAGCAUAGGCAGCGGGGGACAGGAAGCCACCCGGGGCCAUAGGGAUCCCCAAACGCCCCAGAGCUAUUCUCUGUAGAAAGGGCUGUGUGGCAAGGACCAGGUAUGGAGCUGGGUUCCACAGAGAGGUGACAACCACUUUGCAUCUCUAAAUUUCCCCCGGGAUCCAUGAUCCAGCCCUGCUUUUCCCCAGGCCCUUCACCCACCCUGCCCCCACUGUGUGUUAGGCAGCUCGGGUUAAAAUGGGAGAAAAAUAUAUUCAGAUUGUAGCCUCCAAGUUUUCCCAUCUGGGCUGCAGAGAGUAGGGAAGGAAGUCGGGGCCUGUGGCGGUGCCUUUUGCUGUGCCUGAGGGCAGGAAGGCCAGGGCUGGGCGGGUGGAUGUCUCCGGGACCACCACUGCUGACUCCCUCCCCCUCACCUGGAGCUACAACCAGGCCAGGCUAUCACGAUUAAUAAAACCACUGCAGCUCUCAUCCUGUCACAAAACUAAUGUGCACCCAACCCCAGCCCUACACAGAUCCCUAGCUUCCUAUCCCAGAACACAGAAAAUCCUCUUAUCUUUUUUACUUAAAACCUGGACUUUAAGCUAGAUUGGGCCUGGGGAUAGUGGCAGCAAAAGCAACAGCCAGAUGUAUACAAUCCAGAUGUAUACACUCAAGGGCACAGGCAUAUUCCACACUUGCUGAAGAAUGAGAGGCCUGAGAGGCACCUGUUUCCCAGCUGCUAACUGAUGUCCCCAUUCAUGUGUCUUCAUUUAGGCCUCUGUAUCAUGUACUUGUUCAGCCAGUGCAAACACAUCUUCUGGGGGGCAUCAUUAAUUGCAGCACCAGCCCCACUUGUUUUGGGAGGGAGUCAGGAGGAAUCUGGUCAGCUCCUAAUCCCCCAGGACAAAGGUGCUGCCCCCUUUUCAGCACUCACAUCCAGCAGCAUCAUGUUGGGAUGGUUUUUCAAACACAAGUAGCAUGAGGUAGCACGCAUGCUGUUAAAGGCUCAGGGCCACAGGCAGCCAGCUGCUGGAGAAACAGCACAGGGCAGGCACAUCUGUGGGUGGCACCAUGAUAAGCCAAGGCAGCCACAGCCCCUACCCACAACAGCCCCAGCCCAGAUGGCAUUCAAAUCUUCCCGGAUAGUAUUGGGGUUCCCGAUGCCCAUCACUCCCCUGCUCAUUAGCACUGCCUUGUGUUGGUUACUCAGGGACUAAGGAGAGAGGGUGGGGGUGUAGGUUCAGGGUGGGCACUGCCUCGCAGCCAGAGUCCACCUGACUGCAGGCCAGCAAGCAAGCCCAAGCAGCUCAGCUCUAGACACUUAGCCUCACCACCUCUGGCUACAUUUUCUAUGUAUACUUUAUGCAAAGGUAGAAAAAGAGGUCAGUAUUAGCUGUUGUGACAUAAAAGUCUAUGCCCCAUUAAGACCUUCUUAAAAUGCUGUUGUCUUAAGCCCUCUUUCUUCUAAUAAAAUUUAUACAAAUACACACAUACAAGCUGAAACUACUAUAAAUGAAAUAUUAGGAUUUUUUAAACCCAUAAGCAAACACUAAAACAGUCACUGUUUGAAUGCAGAGAAAGUGGGAGUCUAAAGCAGCUGACCCCAAAACAGCCUUACCAAGCCCAAGGCCAGGCCAGGCAGUCUGAACACUACGAGGUCACGUGAUGGUCACAGAGGAUGACAGCUCCCAUGAGUAUUCUCAGGCACUGUGUUAGCUUCUCACUCACAGAGUCUCAGAAUGCCUCCUCACCAAUACCCUGUGAGGGAAGGCCCCACCUCACUAGAGCACAAGAGGUUCCUGAGCUCUUCCCAGAAAAUGGUUAUCAAAGGGUGGAGCUGGGGGAAGCCCAGACAGAACAAGUGAGUCCCCAGGGUCUCCUUAACCUCCCUCAGCUCCUCCACAUGCGGCCCUGAGGGAAAGUGAGCGGCCUCCUAACCCCUUUGAUAGGGUUCCAGUACUGCAGGUCUGGACUUCCUUAUUUUCUGGAAUCAUAGGAGGUGACAAUGCAAACCCAGGCCCCUUAUUUGCCAUCCCUCAAUGCCAGGCCAGGCCCAGAGCCCUGUGCUGACACAGCCCAGGGGAUGCUCGAAACCCACCUCAGCACAGUCACCAAUAGCAUAGUGAGAUGAGCAAGGAGGUGCAAGUAGGCACAAAUCCCCAUGGACAUGGCCUCAGGCAUGUUCCACAGGCUCAGGGUCUCCCUGAUGAGCUCCCAGCCCUCCUUCAGGGAGCCUGCAGAGCACACCCCCAGGGAGCAGUGCUCAGAUGAGCAGGCAGACCCCAGAUCCCCCACCCCAGGAUGCUCUGUUCCACUUUGCAGGGCUGCUGCAUUCGCCAGUCCCCACUGCUUUCUGGUGGGAUGUUUGAGUUGAAGUGAAUGUUGAAGGGCAUACAGCUGACGGAGCUGACUGCCUUGCAGAAGUUGUAAAUCACCUCCUGGCUCCACGGGUCAGCUGUGGAGACACAGCUUGAUUGGAGGUAGCCCCCCUCUACCAUCAGUGGUGCUGGGCUGCCCUGAUCUGCACCUUCCAGCUCCUUGCUGAGAUGUCUUCAUGCUUCUCUAAGGGACUGGGUCACGAGACACCCCUGGGAAGGCCCAGCUGGCAGAAUAGGCUGGACACUCUCCCUCAGCCUCCCCAGCAGCCCGGCCUGUGCUGUCACCUGUGCUGAUGAUCUCACUUCUCUAUCUUAAUAACAGCACUGAUAACUUUUAAGCCCUAGCAAGCUGAAACUGCAAGACAAAUGAUCUUCUGCCUUAGAAGGGCUAUGGUUGGGCAGUGUGUGCCCAGGUGAGAGCCCUGUGGUUGUUAGUAGAAAUAGGGAGCUGGAUGGGCCUGGCCCCAUAGCCUAGUGGAAAGUAGGGCCCUCUCCUUCCAGAGCAUCAAAGUCUUAGAGGCUAGAAAAAGGUGCUUGGGUGGGCUGCCAAGAAGCAGAAGGCUAGAAGGCUUUGCAAGGAACCCCAACAGACUUCAAGGUGCCUGAGAGGGCUGGGCUUAUUCCAGCUUUCUUUGCUUUCAUCCUGUUAGCAAGAAAACCUGCUCACAGAUGGCAGGUGGGCCUGAGGCUGCCAGUCACUCACCAGGGGCUAUAGGUGCCUUGAUUGUGGCUGUUUCUUGAAGCAGCUGCUCAGGCCGGUUAUUGCAGAGCAGUUCCCUCAUUAUCCACAGGUCCUUGUUCCAGCCCUGGCUCUGCAAAGGGACUAGGGAGGGACUAGGCAAGGGCUCAGCCUGUGCCCCACAACCUGCUCUGAGAUAUCUCUUUUGUUACUUCCUCAUGGACAGCCUCAAACUUCCAAAUGAACAGACCAGCAUGGAGCCUCCAGGAAAGUGCAUAGAAUUCUGUCUGGUACCCAGAGGGAAGGGGGUUCCCAGUGAGGGCAGGACCAGGCUUCAUGCACCUCUUCAGGAAUGUUCUCCUCAUAGUCCAGCCUCAAGACCCAGAACGAGUGGCAUCCCAGGAGCCUGUGAGGGGCUGGCAGAGACUUACUGGUUCCAGUAAAAGCCCCAUGUGGAUGCAGUAAUGCUGCCUGCUGGUCCUUGGCUGUAAUUACAAACAGAUGGCACCAAAAGCGAAGGAAGCUCCUGCUCCUCCUAAAGCCAAAGCCAAAGCGAAGGCUUUAAAGGCCAAUAAGGCAGUGUUGAAAGGUGUCCACAGCCACAUGCAAAAAGAAGAUCCACAUGUCACCCACCUUCAGGUGGCCCAAGACACUGUGACUCCAGAGGCAGCCCAGAUAUCCUCGGAAGAACACCCCCAGGAGAAACAAGCUUGACCACUAUGCUAUCAUCAAGUUUCCGCUGACCACUGAGUCGGCCGUGAAGAAGACAGAAGAAAACUACACACUUGUGUUCAUUGUGGAUGUUAAAGCCAACAAGCACCAGAUCAAACUGGCUGUGAAGAAGCUCUAUGACAGUGAUGUGGCCAAGGUCACCACCCUGAUUUGUCCUGAUAAAGAGAAAAAGGCAUAUGUUCGACUCGCUCCUGAUUAUGAUGCUUUGGAUGUUGCAACAAAAUUGGGAUCAUCUAAACUGAGUCCAGCUGGCUAACUCUAAAUAUAUGUGUAUCUUUUCACCAUAAAAAAAUGUUUUUCAUAAGAGUGACAACUUAAUUAGAAUCAAAUCUAUAAGCUUUAAGAUUUUAUGUUUCUAGUAAUUAUAAUAUUAGCUUAUUUGACUAGAACUCAAGCAGAAUGGGAAUUUAUGCUUGUUUUAUAUUCAAUAGUGAUAACUUUGAAGAUAUAGUUGUUUUAUUAUACCAAAAAUAUUAUAUUAAUCUUAUUUAACUAAGUUUUAUCCAAAUCGUGUUAACUUAAAAAACAUUUGAUCAGUUCCUAUAUUUCUAGGAGUUUGCUGAAUAUUUAUUUAUAAAUGCUUAUUUUUUUCCAAGCCAAGUUAGAAUAGAGCACUUUUAGAGGACUUUAUAAAUGAAUUUUGCAAUGCUCUCCGGAGUUAAGAAUAUAUCACAUAUACAUAACAUACUUUAACAGAUAUACAAACACAAAUAGAGAUUUCAUAGCUUUCAUCCUGAAAUUUCAGACAUGAAUCAGGCAUAAAUAUUCUGAUGGUUAAUUUUAGGCAUCUACUUGAUCGGAUUAAGAGACACACAUAGCAGGGGGGUGAGGCGCCCCCCGCGAUGCGGGGUGUAAGAGCCAGCCCCUCUUCCCCCCUGGCUCUUAGGACCCCCAUCGCAGGGGGGUGAGGAACCCCCCAUGAUGCGGGGAGUAAGAGCCAACCCCUCUUCCCCCCCUGGCUCUUAGGACCCCCAUCGCAGGGGGGUGAGGCACUCCCCGCGCUGCGGGGAGGGCUCUGAGACUGGGGUCUGGGCUGUUCCGGACUUCAACACUCACCCCUUGUCCCCCCGCAGGGCUAUGGUGUGUGCUCGGUGGGGCUGGAGUGGCUGGCUUACCUCCUCGUGCCUUACAGCCUGGGCGCCUCAGCCACCUCACUCCUGGGCCUGCUGGGCCUGUGGCUGCCACGCCCUGUGCCCCUGGUGGCUGGAGCAGGGGUGCACCUGCUGCUCACCUUCAUCCUCUUUUUCUGGGCCCCUGUGCCUCGGGUCCUGCAACACAGCUGGAUCCUCUAUGUGGCAGCCGCCCUUUGGGUUGUGGGCAGCUCCCUGAACAAGACUGGACUCAGCACACUCCUGGGAAUCUUGUAUGAAGACAAGGAGAGACAGGACUUCAUCUUCACCAUCUACCACUGGUGGCAGGCUGUGGCCAUCUUCACCGUGUACCUGGGCUCGAGCCUGCACAUGAAGGUGAGACUGGGCAGGGUUGGGGGCCCCAUGCCCAAUGACAGGUACUUCCUUAGCCCCUGCCCUGGCUUCACAGCUUCCUAAACGCCACCCCUUCCCAAGCCAGUCUCUGGGCCAAGCCUCAUUCCUGCAGCCCACUGGGUGGCCCUCAACUCAGCAACCCACUUACUGGCCCACCUCCAGCCAGUCUCAGUUUGCCCAUCUCUGAGG
Molecule: long non-coding RNA, 7391 nt
Filed under: Homo sapiens (human)
Lineage: Eukaryota; Metazoa; Chordata; Mammalia; Primates; Hominidae
Description: HSALNT0312633
Source: RNAcentral